Molecule: unclassified non-coding RNA, 339 nt
Filed under: soil metagenome
Description: partial contains 5.8S ribosomal RNA, internal transcribed spacer 2, and large subunit ribosomal RNA
Rfam family: 5.8S ribosomal RNA (bases 1-120)
Source: RNAcentral
GAUGAAGAACGUAGUGAAAUGUGAUACGUAGUGUGAAUUGCAGAAUUCAGUGAAUCAUCGAAUCUUUGAACGCACAUUGCACCUCUCGGUAUUCCGGGAGGUAUGCCUGUUCGAGCGUCAUUUGUACCCUCAAGCUCUGCUUGGUGUUGGGUGUUUGUUCCGCCUCUGUGUGUGAACUCGCCUCAAAACAAUUGGCAGCCGGCGUACUUGUUUCGGAGCGCAGCACAUUUUGCGAUCCAGAUCAACGUACAGCGGCAUCCAAGAAGCCUUAUUUAACGCUCUUGACCUCGGAUCAGGUAGGGAUACCCGCUGAACUUAAGCAUAUCAAUAAGCGGAGGA